AUGAACGCUGGCGGCGUGCCUAAUACCUGCAAGUCGCGCGAACAGACGAGGAGCUUGCUCCUCUGACGUUAGCGGCGGACGGGUGAGUAACACGUGGAUAACCUACCUAUAAGACUGGGAUAACUUCGGGAAACCGGAGCUAAUACCGGAUAAUAUAUUGAACCGCAUGGUUCAAUAGUGAAAGACGGUUUUGCUGUCACUUAUAGAUGGAUCCGCGCCGCAUUAGCUAGUUGGUAAGGUAACGGCUUACCAAGGCAACGAUGCGUAGCCGACCUGAGAGGUGAAUCGCCACACUGGAACUGAGACACGGUCCAGACUCCUACGGGAGGCAGCAGUAGGGAAUCUUCCGCAAUGGGCGAAAGCCUGACGGAGCAACGCCGCGUGAGUGAUGAAGGUCUUCGGAUCGUAAAACUCUGUUAUUAGGGAAGAACAAAUGUGUAAGUAACUAUGCACGUCUUGACGGUACCUAAUCAGAAAGCCACGGCUAACUACGUG
Molecule: ribosomal RNA, 495 nt
Filed under: uncultured bacterium
Lineage: Bacteria
Description: partial 16S ribosomal RNA
Rfam family: Bacterial small subunit ribosomal RNA
Source: RNAcentral